This 72-nucleotide transfer RNA is filed under the name Pentaceros wheeleri (slender armorhead). RNAcentral's name for it is "tRNA-Tyr". It matches the Rfam family "tRNA". Rfam says of the family: Transfer RNA (tRNA) molecules are approximately 80 nucleotides in length. Their secondary structure includes four short double-helical elements and three loops (D, anti-codon, and T loops). The record is from RNAcentral. Lineage: Eukaryota; Metazoa; Chordata; Actinopteri; Acropomatiformes; Pentacerotidae.
GCACUAGUAGCUCAGUUUCAGAGCGCCGGUCUUGUAAACCGGACGUCGGAGGUUAAAAACCCCCCUACUGCU